This 72-nucleotide transfer RNA is filed under the name Bos taurus (domestic cattle). It matches the Rfam family "tRNA". Rfam says of the family: Transfer RNA (tRNA) molecules are approximately 80 nucleotides in length. Their secondary structure includes four short double-helical elements and three loops (D, anti-codon, and T loops). The record is from Rfam by way of RNAcentral. RNAcentral also lists the same sequence under 2 other names. Lineage: Eukaryota; Metazoa; Chordata; Mammalia; Artiodactyla; Bovidae.
UCACUGGUGGCUUAGCUGGUAAAGAAUCCACCUGCAAUGUGGGAGACCUGGGUUCAAUCCCUGGUUUGGGAA